GGAUUCCCCUAGUAACUGCGAGUGAAGCGGGAAAAGCUCAAAUUUAAAAUCUGGUGGUCUCUGGCCAUCCGAGUUGUAAUCUAGAGAAGWGUUAUCCGCGCUGGACCGUGUACAAGUCUCCUGGAAUGGAGCGUCAUAGAGGGUGAGAAUCCCGUCUUUGAUACGGACUGCCAGGGCUUUGUGAUGCGCUCUCAAAGAGUCGAGUUGUUUGGGAAUGCAGCUCAAAAUGGGUGGUAAAUUCCAUCUAAAGCUAAAUAUUGGCGAGAGACCGAUAGCGAACAAGUACCGUGAGGGAAAGAUGAAAAGAACUUUGGAAAGAGAGUUAAACAGUACGUGAAAUUGCUGAAAGGGAAACGCUUGAAGUCAGUCGCGUUGUCUGGGGAUCAACCUUACUUUUGUUGGGCGUACUUUCCAGAUGACGGGUCAGCAUCAAUUUUGACCGUUGGAUAAAGUCUAGAGGAAUGUGGCAUCUUCGGAUGUGUUAUAGCCUUUGGUCGCAUACAACGGUUGGGAUUGAGGAACUCAGCACGCCGAAAGGCCGGGUACUUGUACCACGUUCGUGCUUAGGAUGCUGGCAUAAUGGCUUUAAUCGACCCGUCUUGAAACACGGACCAAGGAGUCUAACAUGCCUGCGAGUAUUUGGGUGGAAAACCCGAGUGCGUAAUGAAAGUGAAAGUUGAGAUCCCUGUCAUGGGGAGCAUCGACGCCCGGACCAGACCUUUUGUGACGGAUCUGCGGUAGAGCAUGUAUGUUGGGACCCGAAAGAUGGUGAACUAUGCCUGAAUAGGGUGAAGCCAGAGGAAACUCUGGUGGAGGCUCGUAGCGAUUCUGACGUGCAAAUCGAUCGUCAAAUUUGGGUAUAGGGGCGAAAGACU
This 875-nucleotide ribosomal RNA is filed under the name Pholiota aurivella. RNAcentral describes it as "partial large subunit ribosomal RNA". Lineage: Eukaryota; Fungi; Basidiomycota; Agaricomycetes; Agaricales; Strophariaceae. The record is from RNAcentral.